Molecule: ribosomal RNA, 506 nt
Filed under: uncultured bacterium
Lineage: Bacteria
Description: partial 16S ribosomal RNA
Rfam family: Bacterial small subunit ribosomal RNA
Source: RNAcentral
GACGAACGCUGGCUACAGGCUUAACACAUGCAAGUCGAGGGGUAACGAGAGGAGAGCUUGCUUUCCUUGUCGACGACCGGCGCACGGGUGAGUAACGCGUAUCCAACCUGCCCCCAACUAAGGAAUAACCUUGCGAAAGUAAGACUAAUACCUUAUAAUUUCCUCAGAUGACAUCUGACGAGGAAUAAAGAUUUAUCGGUUGUGGAUGGGGAUGCGUCUGAUUAGCUUGUUGGCGGGGUAACGGCCCACCAAGGCAACGAUCAGUAGGGGUUCUGAGAGGAAGGUCCCCCACAUUGGAACUGAGACACGGUCCAAACUCCUACGGGAGGCAGCAGUGAGGAAUAUUGGUCAAUGGGCGGAAGCCUGAACCAGCCAAGUAGCGUGCAGGAUGACGGCCCUAUGGGUUGUAAACUGCUUUUAUACAGGAAUAAAGUUAGCCACGUGUGGUUAUUUGUAGGUACUGUAUGAAUAAGGACCGGCUAAUUCCGUGCCAGCCGCCGCCGUAA